GUUUUUGUAGAGCAAUGGUUAGCUUGUUGAACUUCUAAUGCGAAGGUCAUGGGUUUCGAAUCCCACCUGGGAUG
Trichonephila inaurata madagascariensis is the source of this 74-nucleotide non-coding RNA. Lineage: Eukaryota; Metazoa; Arthropoda; Arachnida; Araneae; Nephilidae. The record is from the annotation of a GenBank genome assembly.